UACGUAGGGUGCAAGCGUUAAUCGGAAUUACUGGGCGUAAAGCGUGCGCAGGCGGUUUUGUAAGUCUGACGUGAAAUCCCCGGGCUCAACCUGGGAAUUGCGUUGGAGACUGCAAGGCUAGAAUCUGGCAGAGGGGGGUAGAAUUCCACGUGUAGCAGUGGAAUGCGUAGAGAUGUGGAGGAACACCGAUGGCGAAGGCAGCCCCCUGGGUCAAGAUUGACGCUCAUGCACGAAAGCGUGGGGAGCAAACAGG
Molecule: ribosomal RNA, 253 nt
Filed under: uncultured bacterium
Lineage: Bacteria
Description: partial 16S ribosomal RNA
Rfam family: Bacterial small subunit ribosomal RNA
Source: RNAcentral